RNAcentral lists this long non-coding RNA (213 nucleotides) under Elaeis guineensis (African oil palm). Its description in RNAcentral is "long non-coding RNA (EGUI_LNC069856)". The record is from RNAcentral. Lineage: Eukaryota; Viridiplantae; Streptophyta; Magnoliopsida; Arecales; Arecaceae.
AGUCAGGUAGAAUGCUUCUUUUGUAAGAAGCAGGAUCAUUGAAAGAGAAAUUAUCUUCAGUAUAAAGCUUUCCUUGAUCCAAACAAGUCAAAGAAGAAGCAGCAAUUGGUUGCUGGACAAAGUACUUAUGUGAUAACACCUUGAAACUUCUCUCUUUUUGAUACAAUGACCUGAGUAUUGGAUAUCGGAAGCUUCAUUAAUAUUUGCAAUUCG